UUUUGUUUUUUGUUUUUCGUUUCGUUUCGUUUCGUUUCAUUGGAUUUUCGAUCACAACCAUACCACAGUUAUCAUUGGUUGACGUGUCAUCAUCAAGCGCGAAAAAAAGGGUGAGGAUAUAAGUAGUAAGUGAGCUUUUGAAGGGAUUCUUUUAGACAUUUGUGAAAAAGAAGAAAGAAGUGAAGAUAUAAUGGAUGAUGU
This 201-nucleotide non-coding RNA is filed under the name uncultured Nitzschia. The record is from RNAcentral. Lineage: Eukaryota; Bacillariophyta; Bacillariophyceae; Bacillariales; Bacillariaceae.